This 1210-nucleotide ribosomal RNA is filed under the name uncultured bacterium. Its description in RNAcentral is "bacterial SSU rRNA". It matches the Rfam family "Bacterial small subunit ribosomal RNA", at positions 224 to 1429 of the family's 1533-position model. The record is from RNAcentral.
GAUGAGCCUGCACUUGAUUAGUUUGUUGGUAGGGUAAUGGCCUACCAAGACAAUGAUCAAUAGCUGAUUUGAGAGGAUGAUCAGCCACAUUGGGACUGAGACACGGCCCAAACUCCUACGGGAGGCAGCAGUAGGGAAUCUUGCACAAUGGGCGCAAGCCUGAUCCAGCCAUACCGCGUGUGUGAAGAAGGCUUUCGGGUUGUAAAGCACUUUAAGUAAGGAGGAAAAGAUUGUAGUUAAUACCUGCAAUCCGUGACGUUACUUACAGAAUAAGGACCGGCUAAUUCCGUGCCAGCAGCCGCGGUAAUACGGAAGGUCCAAGCGUUAAUCGGAAUUACUGGGCGUAAAGCGCGCGUAGGUGGUUUUUUAAGUUGGAUGUGAAAGCCCUGGGCUCAACCUAGGAACUGCAUCCAAAACUAGAUGACUAGAGUACGAAAGAGGGAAGUAGAAUUCACAGUGUAGCGGUGGAAUGCGUAGAUAUUGUGAAGAAUACCAAUGGCGAAGGCAGCUUCCUGGUUCUGUACUGACACUGAGGUGCGAAAGCGUGGGUAGCGAACAGGAUUAGAUACCCUGGUAGUCCACGCCGUAAACGAUGACAACUAGCUGUUGGGAGACAAGAUCUCUCAGUGGCGCAGCUAACGCUUUAAGUUGUCCGCCUGGGGAGUACGGCCGCAAGGUUAAAACUCAAAUGAAUUGACGGGGACCCGCACAAGCGGUGGAGCAUGUGGUUUAAUUCGAUGCAACGCGAAAAACCUUACCUACUCUUGACAUACUUGGAAGCUCUUGUAAUGAGAGUGUGCUUUUAGAGCCAAGAUACAGGUGCUGCAUGGCUGUCGUCAGCUCGUGUCGUGAGAUGUUGGGUUAAGUCCCAUAACGAGCGCAACCCUUACCCUUAUUUGCCAGCGGUUCGGCCGGGAACUAUAAGGGGACUGCCGGUGACAAACCGGAGGAAGGUGAGGACGACGUCAAGUCAUCAUGGCCCUUACGAGUAGGGCUACACACGUGCUACAAUGGGGAAUACAGACGGACGCUAAAGCGUGAGCUGGUGCUAAUCCUAAAAAAUUUCUCGUAGUCCGGAUUGCAGUCUGCAACUCGACUGCAUGAAGUCGGAAUCGCUAGUAAUCGCGAAUCAGCAUGUCGCGGUGAAUACGUUCUCGGGUCUUGUACACACCGCCCGUCACACCAUGGAAGUGUGUUGCACCAGAAGUAG